Molecule: long non-coding RNA, 1275 nt
Organism: Cyanistes caeruleus (blue tit)
Lineage: Eukaryota; Metazoa; Chordata; Aves; Passeriformes; Paridae
Source: RefSeq, a predicted model, not a curated record
GUUCUACGCCAAGGUGUCACCCAAGGAAAGAGUGAAUUUUAUUUCAGAAGAUUCAGAUACAGGUGACCCAAUCACAUAUGCUGAGGUGAAUGUGAAAUGGAGAUCUGAGAGACCUGACAGCACACCCAAAAUUACACAAUCAGUGACCUGCUCGGAGAACUCCCCCUGGUGCUACGCUGUCUUCACCCUGCUCUUCUGCGCCGUGCUUCUGCUGGUCACGGUCAUCCUGCUGGCGGUGAAAUGUUACAGCCGCUGACCCUGCUGCCACGCAGGAUAAGUCAGCGCAGGAACGUUCUGCUUCUUCAACAGGAUGUAGUGCUUGUUUUAUUUGACAUUAUUUUGGCUGAAGAGACAAAAUGAAGACGUGCCAUCAGUCUGAUCACUCUCCAGUUAUGUCAUCCCAGAUCUCUGUUAAAUCUCUGAACUCUCCAUAUGUGGACAAGACAUAUAUCCAUUUAUUUGGAAUUUUCUUAAUCCUGUCAUUUCAGCAACCAUCCAACUAUAUCAGUGCAUGCAUCAAUACAUGGGGUCAAACUCCUGCAUCAAAAGGUGGAGUUUGGCCUAGUUUAGACAAUAAAAAUGACCAGGUGGAGACAUACAUUUAAUUCACAUCUGACUUGAUUCUGCAAUCACUUGAUGUGCAAUACAGAUAAGCUUUUGGUUAUAUGCAAGUGCAGAAACUCAUGGACUAAAAAAUGAAUGUGGAAUGUCGCACUGAGAUUUUUUUAUAAAGCCUAGGCUAGGACUUGAUUUUUCUUCUGACAGCUGUUAGCUGGAUUUGUAUGAAUGGGAUAUUGAAGGUUUGAGAAACUAAAUGCUGUUAGUAGAGAAGUCUCAGUUUCAUCUCCUCAUUGGCUUGAAUUAAAUUUUUCUGUUCCACUUGUCCAGAAGAGCAUCUCACAAUACCCUGUUUCUGUCUUGGGGCAGUAAUUUGAUUUUUGUAUUUGUUUGGGGUUUCUUUUCCUCAUCUGCUUCAGUUAAAACUGAAUCCUCCACUGGAACUGGGGCACCUGAGAUUCAAAUGCAUUUGUUUGUUAUUAUGACCUUAUUGUCUGCUUUUAUAUUGUUUUAGUAUCUUAUCCAUUAUAACAUCUUCAUGGCAGGCUGCAGAGGAUUUGCAGACCCCGAGUAGGGGGAGUCUGUACAGCAAAUAUUUCUAGAAUAUUUCUUGUAUCUAAACUUACCUGUACUUUAGCUGCUGUUGCUAAUGUACCCCAUCUUUAUAAUAUAUAUAUAUAUAUGCACAGAAGUCAAUAAAGAAAUUUAGUAAAGCAC